Molecule: long non-coding RNA, 1353 nt
Filed under: Neogobius melanostomus (round goby)
Lineage: Eukaryota; Metazoa; Chordata; Actinopteri; Gobiiformes; Gobiidae
Description: lncRNA (ENSNMLG00000010358.1)
Source: RNAcentral
GCACGCACAAUGCGAAAAGAUAACACAUCUUUGUUUAUACGUCUCUGUCAGUGUCAUAUGAAAACACAUAGUUCAACUUAAAGCAAUGUAGUACUGUGUUUACUCUAUGUGAGCAGGUUUUGGGAACAAGAACAUUUUUAAAAUUUUUACAGGAAAAUCCCAUUUUGACCUCCCCAAAAAAACAACGUGUUUCAUUAUUACUUGUGGAAACUUCACUGAGUCAGUUUGUUUUACAGUUAGCGACAGAAAAUCUAAAUAAUAAGUACCUUUGUACAGUACUAAUCUGUGGCAACAAAAGGUGUCGUUUGACCAGUUAUAAUUAUAUAUAAUUAUCUAAAGGGCACACAACUGGUGUGGCAUUUUUACUGUGAGUUCUAUAAUGGUUCAAGAAAAGGUUACGUCAAUGCACAGAUGAUAAAUGUUAUUACCGGUAGUUUAAUUUUGGGCUGGUCUCAUUAUCGAUAAUACUUAAAUUGUAAUGAGCAAAAUAGUUUCAUACUAAAGCAAGAAAGUCAGGAGAAGUAUGAUGCAUUCUUCUGAUAUUUUCUUAUGCUACUCAAAGCUCUUUCAUACAAACUAAACUCUAUGCUUGUUUUUUUCCUCCUAGCGGCAGAGUAUUUCCACAGAAACAGCUUUAACGUUGUCUCUGCCAGAUAAUGAGACCAGCUGCCUGAGCGUCCGGUCCAUGUUGAAUAAGUACUGUGCCAAGAGGGGUCUGUGGAGUGACUGGAGUCCAUCUGUGUGCUACCCAGGUAUACACCCCUCUGUUGUUACAUCCAAAUGACUUUACUGAGUGAAGCACCUCUGUGUCUGUCGUAUGGCUCAAUGCCUGAGGUGCAGCACAUACGCACGGUGUGAGUUUGAGUCCUCUUCCCUGUUUUCCAGAGAAAAGGAUUUGACAUCAGCAGCAAGACAGGACAUGUUUCCUGAGUACAUGUACAUUACUGUGAUCCUCAUUGUUGCUGUCCUGGUGGUGGGUUUGUGCCUGUGGACUGCCGUCACUAUGCGGUGGUUGAGACAAGUGAAGACAAAGGACUCCUCAUUCAGCAGCCUGUUUGACAAGAGCUCAGAGACAUAUAUACCAGGGGUUCGGCACAACUGAAAAUCAAGACACUGCAGCUCACAAUCAUUUCAUGAAGAGGAGAUCAUCUCAUUUUACGCCAGUCUUGCCAUUUUUACUGUUUUAUGCUGCUUUUAUGUUCACAUGCAGACUACAGUAUGUAACAGCCAGGACUUUUGUAGAGUAUAGUGCCAUAUUAUUAUAACGACACAUAUAAAUGUAUGCUUUUGUUUAUUGUACUGUAACAAAUCAAUAUAUCAUUAUUUGUGAAAUAUACGUAAAUAAAAUACAAG